CGUAGGAUAUGUGAAGAAAAGUCAAAGAAAAUAGCAAUUGCAAAAUCAACUACCAAUGCUUUAAAUAUGUCAUGAUCUCAUACAAUUCAAUUAAAUGAACCUGAUGAAAAGGGGAUUAAAGAUGGUAUCUCAGAUCCAAACCAUAGCAAGUUACAGUCCGGAGUCAAACAAAUGAGAUGACUCGGCAUGCCCUGAAUGCCCACCCGAGGUCCAUUCCAGCUGUCCUGGCGAUCCCGUCCAAGAAGCAUCCCUACGAUGCAGCCAAAAGACUCCAUCCUGCACAGAGCCAAGGGACUGCAGGCAAAUAAGCAAUAUCCUGCCUCUUUGGCAAAUAAUGGAUCGUUUGGCUUCCUGAACUUCUGCAUGGAUUGUGUGUCUCUCCCUGCGUUUACUUAACAUCUUGAGCAGAAAUGAUGGAAUUAGAAUGAUUUCUUACUGGAAACCAAGCACAGAGAGGAG
RNAcentral lists this long non-coding RNA (459 nucleotides) under Mus spicilegus (steppe mouse). RNAcentral's name for it is "lncRNA (ENSMSIG00000023298.1)". Lineage: Eukaryota; Metazoa; Chordata; Mammalia; Rodentia; Muridae. The record is from RNAcentral.